CCUACGGGUGGCUGCAGUGGGGAAUAUUGGACAAUGGGGGCAACCCUGAUCCAGCCAUGCCGCGUGUGUGAAGAAGGCCCUCGGGUUGUAAAGCACUUUCAGUGAGGAAGAACGCCUGGUGGUUAAUACCCAUCAGGAAAGACAUCACUCACAGAAGAAGCACCGGCUAACUCCGUGCCAGCAGCCGCGGUAAUACGGAGGGUGCGAGCGUUAAUCGGAAUUACUGGGCGUAAAGCGCGCGUAGGUGGCUUGAUAAGCCGGUUGUGAAAGCCCGGGCUCAACCUGGGAACGGCAUCCGGAACUGUCAAGCUAGAGUGCAGGAGAGGAAGGUAGAAUUCCCGGUGUAGCGGUGAAAUGCGUAGAGAGCGGGAGGAAUACCAGUGGCGAAGGCGGCCUUCUGGACUGACACUGACACUGAGGUGCGAAAGCGUGGGUAGCAAACAGGAUUAGAAACCCGAGUAGUC
Molecule: ribosomal RNA, 464 nt
Filed under: Vreelandella stevensii
Lineage: Bacteria; Pseudomonadati; Pseudomonadota; Gammaproteobacteria; Oceanospirillales; Halomonadaceae
Description: partial 16S ribosomal RNA
Rfam family: Bacterial small subunit ribosomal RNA
Source: RNAcentral